Homo sapiens (human) is the source of this 1521-nucleotide long non-coding RNA. Ensembl annotates it as long intergenic non-protein coding RNA 1089. Lineage: Eukaryota; Metazoa; Chordata; Mammalia; Primates; Hominidae. The record is from Ensembl.
GGAGCUGAGCUGGGGAAGGGAGACCAGGGUUCACCACGUUAGCAUUCGCAUUCCUGGGAGGAUGCAGCCCUCGCCUGGACCUGGGCGAUAGACGCCUUCUUCUGUUUUUAUUUUUGGAGGGGAGCGCCCUGUAAUUGUCCUGAACACAUGCUUCCCCCCCUUCCUCCAGCCACCCGCGGAGGAGAGAGUCCCCCUUUUUUGCAUUUAUCUUUUCCUUCCCCUUUCUUUAUUAAAGGUCCGGGAGUGGCGGCGGCCAAUCAGCGCGCGGCUUCCAUUUUGUGAGUUCAACUCCGAGGCUCCCGGGCUUCGCGAGGACGCGUUUGCAGCCCCCUCUGCCGCUCCUCUCUGGCGGCCGAGGCGCAGGAGCCGCCUCGCCGGGGCUCGGAGCUGGUGUAGCUCAUAUUGGGGCUCUUUUCGGGGUUUGUAAUUUGGCCGUGGGUAGGUAAUUGGCUGGAGCAGGGCGGCAGGGCGCGGCAGCCAAUCAGCGCGCGGCUUCUAUAGGGCUUGAGUUAUUAGACGCUGAUCUCAAAACAUCCUUCAUCAGACACGAAGGAGAGGCCAACAGAUGAGGGAAGCCAUUUUUCUGCAAUGGAAUUAAAUGGCCAAGCCCAAGGACUCACAGUUGGAAGACUGGAGAAGACUUUUUAAAAAGAUCUGGAUUUUUCCUUAUGACUUGGAAUCCAUCUUUGUCUUGUAUAACUAGGUCAUAGCACACCAUUCAUGUCAGCAGUUAACAGUUUUGAAUUCCAAAAAAACCUAAAGCAGUAAACAGUCCUCAGCGAAGCCGCCUUUUUGCCUACCCAACCCUGGAAAGUUUGCAGAAGUGGAAGGAGCAGAACGUGAGGGUGUAACUUACAAAAAGCUUGAUCUUCUAGACUCCAUGGCACCGGGCUGAGCGGGUUCUGGGCCGGAGAAGGGGCGACGUUCGGGCACCCCCCGAAUGGACAAUCUUUCCUUCUGUCAACGGCAGGGGCAGGCCUAGUUUGACUCUGACAGUCCUCCCACUAAGGAAUUCCUGGUGACUGGAAGGGGGAGUGACUCAGGCCCUCAACCUCUAGCAGAGUGCCUUGGCUCCCUCCUGUCGUCCUGGGGAACCUCGGCCCCAGCCCUGCCUCCCCAGCCAGUCACAGCUCCUCCCUGGUCACCCUGAGGGAGCUCAGGGCCCGGCUGGUAGCUGGGUUGCUCUGCUUCUGUCCCCCACUCCUGUGGAGCCUGGCAGGCAACUCCAUGAUCUGACCCCGGUUACCUUGACAGCCCUGCCUGGCCUCCCCUCUCAUGGCCCAGCCACCCCAGAACCUGAAGAGGUUUUCUAGCUGCCGUGCAUUUGCCAGGCUGGGUUACCCACCCUACUUUCCCUGCCUGCCCUCCAGUGCUGCCAGGCCUAGUGUGCCAGCCAGCGCUCAGCCUUCAGUAAAGGGUUCCCCUGCUUCCAACCUCCAUUGCACUGCUUCCCCUAAGACUGUGACCUCCUGGAAGGCUGGAGCACAACUGCCUCUCAAUAAACGUGUUGCAAAAAAGGAA